AUUGAACGCUGGCGGCAGGCCUAACACAUGCAAGUCGAACGGUAACAGGAAGCAGCUUGCUGCUUUGCUGACGAGUGGCGGACGGGUGAGUAAUGUCUGGGAAACUGCCCGAUGGAGGGGGAUAACUACUGGAAACGGUAGCUAAUACCGCAUAACGUCGCAAGACCAAAGAGGGGGACCUUAGGGCCUCUUGCCAUCGGAUGUGCCCAGAUGGGAUUAGCUAGUAGGUGGGGUAACGGCUCACCUAGGCGACGAUCCCUAGCUGGUCUGAGAGGAUGACCAGCCACACUGGAACUGAGACACGGUCCAGACUCCUACGGGAGGCAGCAGUGGGGAAUAUUGCACAAUGGGCGCAAGCCUGAUGCAGCCAUGCCGCGUGUAUGAAGAAGGCCUUCGGGUUGUAAAGUACUUUCAGCGGGGAGGAAGGGAGUAAAGUUAAUACCUUUGCUCAUUGACAUUACCCGCAGAAGAAGCACCGGCUAACUCCGUG
This 490-nucleotide ribosomal RNA is filed under the name uncultured bacterium. Its description in RNAcentral is "partial 16S ribosomal RNA". It matches the Rfam family "Bacterial small subunit ribosomal RNA", at positions 30 to 507 of the family's 1533-position model. The record is from RNAcentral.